GCCGGGGUGGCGAAAUUGGUAGACGCAGGGGAUUCAAAAUCCCCCGGUGGCAACACCUUGUCGGUUCGAGUCCGACCCUCGGUACCA
This 87-nucleotide transfer RNA is filed under the name Gammaproteobacteria bacterium. Its description in RNAcentral is "tRNA-Leu". It matches the Rfam family "tRNA". From Rfam's summary of the family: Transfer RNA (tRNA) molecules are approximately 80 nucleotides in length. Their secondary structure includes four short double-helical elements and three loops (D, anti-codon, and T loops). Further hydrogen bonds mediate the characteristic L-shaped molecular structure. tRNAs have two regions of fundamental functional importance: the anti-codon, which is responsible for specific mRNA codon recognition, and the 3' end, to which the tRNAs corresponding amino acid is attached (by aminoacyl-tRNA synthetases). tRNAs cope with the degeneracy of the genetic code in two manners: having more than one tRNA (with a specific anti-codon) for a particular amino acid; and 'wobble' base-pairing, i.e. permitting non-standard base-pairing at the 3rd anti-codon position. Lineage: Bacteria; Pseudomonadati; Pseudomonadota; Gammaproteobacteria. RNAcentral also lists the same sequence under 4 other names. The record is from RNAcentral.